RNAcentral lists this ribosomal RNA (372 nucleotides) under uncultured organism. RNAcentral describes it as "bacterial SSU rRNA". It matches the Rfam family "Bacterial small subunit ribosomal RNA", at positions 526 to 896 of the family's 1533-position model. The record is from RNAcentral.
CAGGGGGGGCGAGCGUUGUUCGGAAUUACUGGGCGUAAAGGGUUCGUAGGUGGCUGGCUAAGUCAGACGUGAAAUCCCUCAGCUUAACUGGGGAACUGCGUCUGAGACUGGCGAGCUUGAGUGCAGGAGAGGAACGCGGAAUUCCAGGUGUAGCGGUGAAAUGCGUAGAUAUCUGGAGGAACACCGGUGGCGAAGGCGGCGUUCUGGACUGCAACUGACACUGAGGAACGAAAGCCAGGGUAGCAAACGGGAUUAGAUACCCCGGUAGUCCUGGCCCUAAACGAUGAAUGCUUGGUGUGGCGGGUAUCGAUCCCUGCCGUGCCGAAGUUAACGCGUUAAGCAUUCCGCCUGGGGAGUACGGUCGCAAGGCUG